UAGAGGAGGAAGAAUGCCUGCCCCAGAGCCUGUUCUUGGGGAAAAGAAGAAUUGUUGAUAUAGCCUGAGCCCCCAAAGAAGAAAGAUUUCCCUGCAACACCUAAAGGUUAACUUUCAAAAUGUAGGAAGUCAGAAUGGGUGACAUCAUCAGAAAAAUAUGUGGAGCUGAUCUCGACAAGAAGUGAAGAACCCAGAGCAAGAAGGCGGUUAUAACUCCUGAGCCCAGGAAGUUGGCAGCAUCUGGGUUUCAGAGGAGCCAGCGCCUCCGAUAUAUCAGGUUGUCUUGAAGUGAGACUCUGCUAAACCAUUCUUCUUCUGGCUGUAAGAUCUGAAUGCUGUGACCAUUGAUUUGUUGAACCAAGACUCUGAGG
Hippopotamus amphibius kiboko is the source of this 371-nucleotide long non-coding RNA. RefSeq lists it as uncharacterized. The transcript is spliced from 4 exons. Lineage: Eukaryota; Metazoa; Chordata; Mammalia; Artiodactyla; Hippopotamidae. The record is from RefSeq and is a predicted model, not a curated record.